GCCCCGGUGGCGAAAUGGUAGACGCAAGGCACUUAAAAUGCCUCGUUCUUUGAACGUGUCGGUUCGAGUCCGACCCGGGGUACCA
This 85-nucleotide transfer RNA is filed under the name Pseudomonas sp. 10-1B. RNAcentral describes it as "tRNA-Leu". It matches the Rfam family "tRNA". From Rfam's summary of the family: Transfer RNA (tRNA) molecules are approximately 80 nucleotides in length. Their secondary structure includes four short double-helical elements and three loops (D, anti-codon, and T loops). Lineage: Bacteria; Pseudomonadati; Pseudomonadota; Gammaproteobacteria; Pseudomonadales; Pseudomonadaceae. The record is from RNAcentral.